This 806-nucleotide small RNA is filed under the name Histoplasma capsulatum. RNAcentral describes it as "hypothetical RNA". RNAcentral also lists the same sequence under 1 other name. The record is from RNAcentral. Lineage: Eukaryota; Fungi; Ascomycota; Eurotiomycetes; Onygenales; Ajellomycetaceae.
GAAAGAUAUCCAUGUUGUGGCGCUGAAUUCUUUCCACAAGUCGGGUACCUAAUUGCACUAGUCCGAUUUCUCAACCUUCGCAUUUCGUGCCUCCUUAGCAAUUGGACCUUUCAAGCGGCAGUAUUCGUGCCCAGGUAAUUCUUGAAGAACUCGUGAACGUCCCUUCGUCAAAAAUCACUGUCAUCAUCUUGUAAUCAUUUGGGAGCUUCGACAGCCCCCUACAGAGCCUACGCCCCCUUUGUAGACCACCGAAAGGGAAAUCGCGCCAAACCUAAAUGGUUAGCGCUAGACCGGAUGCCGAACGGCGUUAGACCGGAUGGGUUCGAUAUACUGUACCUAGGCACUGAGGCGCCAAGGUGGGUGGGUGGUUUGAUCUCAGAGCUAACACGAUAUAUCCAGGUAGCAGUUAAUUUAACCUGGGAAUUGGGUGUUCAAUCAUGAGAGUAGCUGGAAUUCUAUGGACGCGCCCCGAUUCAGGCUUGGAGUUUUCUCAGGACUCCCCAUUGUGCCGCCUCUGGUUUCUCGUUAAUGGUACACUAAGGCUUGACAUGGUUCUAACCAAAAUACCCCGUGGUGAAUGCGGAUAGAUGAUUCAUAUGUCACUCAUCUACGGCCUUUCUCCUUGUGCCCUCUACGUUCCCGCAUAUAAAGAUUUUUUUAAACUAACGACAGAAAAGUAGAAGUGUGAUAUAUUUCUCAUACAUCAUAUAAUUUUUUGAUUUUCCAGGCUUCAAGAUCUCAUUGAAACGCGAAUCAGCCAGAUAUUUUGGACUAAAAAUUUUAGUAUAACUAACACUAAACUAAAA